This 397-nucleotide ribosomal RNA is filed under the name uncultured bacterium. Its description in RNAcentral is "partial 16S ribosomal RNA". It matches the Rfam family "Bacterial small subunit ribosomal RNA", at positions 523 to 918 of the family's 1533-position model. The record is from RNAcentral.
AUACGUAGGGUGCGAGCGUUGUCCGGAAUGAUUGGGCGUAAAGGGCGCGUAGGCGGCGCGGUAAGUCUGGAGUGAAAGUCCUGCUUUCAAGGUGGGAAUUGCUUUGGAUACUGCCGCGCUUGAGUGCAGGAGAGGUUAUCGGAAUUCCCGGUGUAGCGGUGAAAUGCGUAGAGAUCGGGAGGAACACCAGUGGCGAAGGCGGGUAACUGGACUGCAACUGACGCCGAGGCGCGAAAGUGUGGGGAGCAAACAGGAUUAGAUACCCUGGUAGUCCACACUGUAAACGAUGAAUGCUAGGUGUAAGAGGUAUCGACCCCUUUUGUGCCGGAGUCAACACAAUAAGCAUUCCGCCUGGGGAGUACGGCCGCAAGGUUGAAACUCAAAGGAAUUGGCGGGG